UACGUAGGGUGCGAGCGUUGUCCGGAAUUACUGGGCGUAAAGCGCGCGUAGGCGGCUUUGCAAGUCGGGUGUGAAAUCCCCAGGCUUAACCUGGGAACUGCAUUCGAGACUGCAUUGCUAGAGUAUGGGAGAGGGAAGUGGAAUUUCCGGUGUAGCGGUGAAAUGCGUAGAUAUCGGAAGGAACAUCAGUGGCGAAAGCGACUUCCUGGACCAAUACUGACGCUCAUGUGCGAAAGCGUGGGGAGCAAACAGG
This 253-nucleotide ribosomal RNA is filed under the name uncultured bacterium. RNAcentral describes it as "partial 16S ribosomal RNA". It matches the Rfam family "Bacterial small subunit ribosomal RNA", at positions 524 to 776 of the family's 1533-position model. The record is from RNAcentral.